UUGGAGGGCAAGUCUGGUGCCAGCAGCCGCGGUAAUUCCAGCUCCAAUAGCGUAUAUUAAAGUUGUUGCAGUUAAAAAGCUCGUAGUUGGAUCUUGGGUCGGGGGGAGCGGUCCGCCCUUGUGUGUAUGCACUGGUAUCUUUGAUUUCUCCCUUCUGACGAACUUUGAUGUCAUUAAUUUGGUGUCAUAGGGAAUCAGGACUGUUACUUUGAAAAAAUUAGAGUGUUUAAAGCAAGCUCACGCUUGAAUACAUUAGCAUGGAAUAAUGAAAUAGGACGUUUGAUUCUAUUUUGUUGGUUUCUAGGAUCGACGUAAUGAUUAAUAGGGAUAGUUGGGGGCAUUAGUAUUCAAUUGUCAGAGGUGAAAUUCUUGGAUUUAUUGAAGACUAACUACUGCGAAAGCAUUUGCCAAGGAUGUUUUCAUUAAUCAAGAACGAAAGUUAGGGGAUCGAAGACGAUCAGAUACCGUCGUAGUCUUAACCAUAAACUAUGCCGACUAGGGAUCGGAUGAUGUUAAUUUUUUAAUGACUCAUUCGGCGCCUUACGGGAAAC
Molecule: ribosomal RNA, 551 nt
Filed under: uncultured Glomus
Lineage: Eukaryota; Fungi; Glomeromycota; Glomeromycetes; Glomerales; Glomeraceae
Description: SSU rRNA
Rfam family: Eukaryotic small subunit ribosomal RNA
Source: RNAcentral